RNAcentral lists this transfer RNA (72 nucleotides) under Camelus bactrianus (Bactrian camel). It matches the Rfam family "tRNA". From Rfam's summary of the family: Transfer RNA (tRNA) molecules are approximately 80 nucleotides in length. Their secondary structure includes four short double-helical elements and three loops (D, anti-codon, and T loops). Further hydrogen bonds mediate the characteristic L-shaped molecular structure. tRNAs have two regions of fundamental functional importance: the anti-codon, which is responsible for specific mRNA codon recognition, and the 3' end, to which the tRNAs corresponding amino acid is attached (by aminoacyl-tRNA synthetases). tRNAs cope with the degeneracy of the genetic code in two manners: having more than one tRNA (with a specific anti-codon) for a particular amino acid; and 'wobble' base-pairing, i.e. permitting non-standard base-pairing at the 3rd anti-codon position. Lineage: Eukaryota; Metazoa; Chordata; Mammalia; Artiodactyla; Camelidae. RNAcentral also lists the same sequence under 2 other names. The record is from Rfam by way of RNAcentral.
GAGGGUAUAGCUCAGUAGUAGAGUGUGUACUUAGCACACAAAAGAUCCUGGGUUCAAUCCCCAGUACGUCCA